GUAGGGUGCGAGCGUUAAUCGGAAUUACUGGGCGUAAAGCGUGCGCAGGCGGCUUUGUAAGCCGGAUGUGAAAUCCCCGGGCUUAACCUGGGAAUGGCAUUCGGGACUGCAAGGCUGGAGUGCGGCAGAGGAGACUGGAAUUCCUGGUGUAGCAGUGAAAUGCGUAGAUAUCAGGAGGAACACCGAUGGCGAAGGCAGGUCUCUGGGCUGACACUGACGCUCAUGCACGAAAGCGUGGGGAGCAAACAGGAUUAGAUACCCUGGUAGUCCACGCCCUAAACGAUGUCGACUGGUUGUUGGGGGUUUGACACUCUCAGUAACGAAGCUAACGCGUGAAGUCGACCGCCUGGGGAGUACGGCCGCAAGGUUA
This 370-nucleotide ribosomal RNA is filed under the name uncultured bacterium. RNAcentral describes it as "bacterial SSU rRNA". It matches the Rfam family "Bacterial small subunit ribosomal RNA", at positions 527 to 896 of the family's 1533-position model. The record is from RNAcentral.